GCAGCUGUCCGUGCCGAUCCGC
RNAcentral lists this microRNA (22 nucleotides) under Gallus gallus (chicken). Its description in RNAcentral is "microRNA Ros-gga". Lineage: Eukaryota; Metazoa; Chordata; Aves; Galliformes; Phasianidae. The record is from RNAcentral.